Molecule: long non-coding RNA, 248 nt
Filed under: Hordeum vulgare
Lineage: Eukaryota; Viridiplantae; Streptophyta; Magnoliopsida; Poales; Poaceae
Description: long non-coding RNA (HVUL_LNC021568)
Source: RNAcentral
AAGACAACGACGAGAACAACAAAAACAAUGACAACAACAACAACACCACCAACAACAACGACGACGACAAUAGUGACAACAGCGAUAGCAACGACAACAACAACAACAACAAACACGAUGAUGAUGACGACAGCGACAACAAUAACAACAACAACAACAAAAACAAUAACAACAACAACGACGACAACGAUUACAACGACGACCACAAUGACAGUGAUGAGAACAACGACAACAACGAUAACAACAAU